AUUGGCCUGUGUUUGCCCGUUGGAUCCCUGCCUAGGCAGCGACAGCGACGCACGCAGGCCUCUUCAGUGGUUGGCCCGAGGACCCCUCGGCCAUUGUCGGUUUCUUGUGCUGGAUACCUUUUGGGAGGGCAUUAUUCGGUCGAAAAUGAUGGGAUUCCGCCUUUUUCCGCUCCCUUAGGGGACGCGGCAUCGGGUGGACCUUGAAGCGCGCUUCGUGUACCAUCCUCCUUGCACGUCUUUGUACGUGCUAGGGUCGUUGGCCCAUGUUGCCGCGCGCGAUCUCUCGGAUAAGGAACAUUGUGCGGGCACGAGGUCCUCGGCCUCUAUCAUGCCCAAACUUUGAGCGUCCUACGCUUCGUGCGAACGACUGCCGCUUGCGUGUUGAACGGGUCCUCGUGGCCCGUCUCAUGCGCUCGCGGCGCCCGUGGGGAA
This 432-nucleotide unclassified non-coding RNA is filed under the name Cordylanthus ramosus. Its description in RNAcentral is "partial external transcribed spacer". The record is from RNAcentral. Lineage: Eukaryota; Viridiplantae; Streptophyta; Magnoliopsida; Lamiales; Orobanchaceae.